GAUGAACGCUGGCGGCGUGCUUAACACAUGCAAGUCGAACGAUGAAGCCCAGCUUGCUGGGUGGAUUAGUGGCGAACGGGUGAGUAACACGUGAGUAACCUGCCCUUGACUCUGGGAUAAGCCUGGGAAACUGGGUCUAAUACUGGAUAUGACUUCUCAUCGCAUGGUGGGGGGUGGAAAGAUUUAUUGGUCUUGGAUGGACUCGCGGCCUAUCAGCUUGUUGGUGAGGUAAUGGCUCACCAAGGCGACGACGGGUAGCCGGCCUGAGAGGGUGACCGGCCACACUGGGACUGAGACACGGCCCAGACUCCUACGGGAGGCAGCAGUGGGGAAUAUUGCACAAUGGGCGCAAACCUGAUGCAGCGACGCCGCGUGAGGGAUGACGGCCUUCGGGUUGUAAACCUCUUUCAGUAGGGAAGAAGCGAGAGUGACGGUACCUGCAGAAGAAGCGCCGGCUAACUACGUG
RNAcentral lists this ribosomal RNA (466 nucleotides) under uncultured bacterium. RNAcentral describes it as "partial 16S ribosomal RNA". It matches the Rfam family "Bacterial small subunit ribosomal RNA", at positions 28 to 507 of the family's 1533-position model. The record is from RNAcentral.